UACGUAGGGUGCGAGCGUUGUCCGGAAUUAUUGGGCGUAAAGAGCUCGUAGGCGGUCUGUCGCGUCUGCUGUGAAAUCCCGAGGCUCAACCUCGGGCUUGCAGUGGGUACGGGCAGGCUAGAGUGCGGUAGGGGAGAAUGGAAUUCCUGGUGUAGCGGUGAAAUGCGCAGAUAUCAGGAGGAACACCGGUGGCGAAGGCGGGUCUCUGGGCUGUAACUGACGCUGAGGAGCGAAAGCGUGGGGAGCGAACAGG
RNAcentral lists this ribosomal RNA (253 nucleotides) under uncultured bacterium. RNAcentral's name for it is "partial 16S ribosomal RNA". It matches the Rfam family "Bacterial small subunit ribosomal RNA", at positions 524 to 776 of the family's 1533-position model. The record is from RNAcentral.